UAAAAUCUUCAUCCCCGAGGUCUGAAAUGCCGUGUUUGCAAAACCAGGUCUUUAUUUUGGAAAAAUAAGAAAAAGAGUCAUAGAUCAAGUGAAUACCGUUUGGAUUUUGGUCAAAAGAAGCCGAUCCAACUUUGGCGGCAUCUUAAACCAUUCUUGCUGAGAUAGCCCUAGAGUAUCUUUCAGUUGUCGAAAAGCUAUUUUUGUAAAAGAAUGGACAAUUUUGUGGAGUAUCAUAAAAUUAUCCUCGCCGGCCUCAAAAUUCAUGCGAAAUUGGGAAGGGGCCACAUUUAAAAGAUAACCAUUUGGUUAAAAUUGACAUAUAAGGGAAAAAAUCUUUCAGUUUGUUUUUCUUUUGAUUAGAGUAUGUAGGUUUUUUGAUAAGUGC
Molecule: long non-coding RNA, 385 nt
Filed under: Nicotiana benthamiana
Lineage: Eukaryota; Viridiplantae; Streptophyta; Magnoliopsida; Solanales; Solanaceae
Description: long non-coding RNA (NBEN_LNC030410)
Source: RNAcentral